CGAACUCCUGACCUCAACUGAUCCGCCUGCCUCGGCCUCCCAAAGUGCUGGGAUUAUAGGCUUGAGCCACCGUGCUCGGCCUGAAGCAUUUUAUGAUGCCCACUACAGGGUGUUCAUAAGUGGUAAAUAAGGUCAUUGGUCUAGAUAACUUAAGAUCCACUGCAACCUGGAGAUGAAGAACUUUAUAAAGAACUUUGUAAAGGGGAUAAUUAUUACCACCCAUCAGAGUUUAGAUUUAGUCCCACUGAUUAUAUUUCUCCUUUUAUAGACAGAGAAAUCAGUGAAAAAUAAAUAUAUAUUUGGAGGAUUAAAUCCCAAUCUAUAUCUCGAGGCUACCUUUAUGUCUAAUAGUUGUGAUAUAACAUGUUGCCUAGAAUAGUUCUAUAAAUGGAAUUCACACAUAGGACCACAGAAUCGCUUCUUCACAGGGUUUCAGAGUUGGAGGACAUAUAAAAGGACAAAUCAAGCCAUAAAUCUGUAAGUAAUCCUAAAAGAAGAGUGGUGUGUCAGUUAUUGGCACCAGUACAUGAUGAAUCCUGCUGGGUUGUGGAAAAAGGAGAAACUGACCUGAACAAAACCAUACUCUACACAGCUGUCCCUGACAUUCCACCACCUGUUAGCAUUCAGUAUUAAUUUCAUGGAUCAAAUCAAGGCAUGCAAGUGCAUUAAAUAAUUUUUUAAAAAACAACUGCUGAUUGCUGAGGGUCUAUGAGGGAAGAAAAAUUAGGAGCUGUUAUUUUCCUAUCAACCAUUACCCGCAUUAACAAGAACAGGAAAUGUGAAUAAAUAAAACUCUUACAUCAUACCAGAAAUAAGAACAGCUGAAUCCCCUAAAGGAUUUUUAUAUUCUAUCAUCAGACAACUAAAGAAAAUAAUUCCAUAUAAAUGGCUGCAUUAAUCAUUGGAAGAAACUUCCCUGCUUUUUUAAAAGAGCAACUAGAAAUACUUUUUGAAAAUAGAGUAACCAUUUGUUAAACCAUAUAUACCAUUGAGGAUAUUUUGGGCAUAAAAGGGAAUUUCCACAAUAAUUCUAUAGUAAUCUUUUAUAGCCAAAGUUAUGAAGAAGAUCAGGAUUUGGGAAAAUUGCGGUCAAGAUUUGAUUUUCCUUUUCUGUUUGAUAGCCUUAUCUAAAUUCUCCUAGCUUGAAUGUAGUAAAUAUGAGUGUGUAAAAACGUAUGUAUAUCUAAUUCAUCUCUUGGGGGAGGUUUAAUGUAACUAUAAAUAAAAAUUCUUUCCCCAAGUAAAAAAAAUGUUACAUAGUGGUUAAUUCUACCUUUUCUCAUUUCUCUACAUCCAAAACUAUCACCAAGAACUGUUAAUUUUACUUUAUAAAGCUCUCUCGAUCGGCCUCUUCAGUUUCAUCACCACUGCUUUAAAUGAGGCAUACUUUCUCGUUUGGAUUAUGGCAGCAGUCUAGCAGUCUCUCUUCCUUUAGUCUCUUCUUCAAAUCCACGUCUGCCACCUCCGCCCUUCAUAUCAUCCAUCAUGUAUUUUUCCCUGCCUAAAUUCUUUGGUUGGCGUCUAUUAAAUCCAAGUUCCUUAAGCAUGGCAUACAGGGGCCAGCUUCUAUGAGCUGUUCCUUACUUCUCCUGUCUCAUUUCCUGACACUUUCCCUUAUACCUUGAGAUGCAGCUUACCAGUACCUCUACUGUAUAUACAACCACAUACAUAUACACCCUGAUCCCCUCCUUCAUGUACAGCCAUAUAUAAUUCUCUCCACCACAUCCUUUAUCACAUUCCUACAAGCCUUGAAGCAAUCUGAACACAGAAACCAUCUUUAGUUUUCAACUCGUAAUUGGGGCUGAACAUACUUGUCUUGAACACAAAUUGCUGCUUUGUUAGUAUAGGUAUCCUAAUGUGGCACAUGUAUAUAGUUAAAGCUAUAUAAUGCAUUCCCCAAGUUCCCCUUCAGGACUAAAGGGUUAUUUCCCAACAGCUGGAAGUCUUGCUGCCAGAAAGCCUUCUUCAGGAAUUGCCUUGUCUCAACUCAAGACAACCCUAAAGGACAUUUCCCAGUUUCCUGUGGGGUCCACUGAGGCCUUGACAUUGUACUGAAGUACAGGUGUUUAUCACAAGAACAAUCUCUGAUAAACCUCCUGUAAACACACUCUUAGAGUCAGCUUGCUGGGGAACCCAAGCUAUAAUAUGUUUGUCUUGUUGACACUUUCUUCUGAGUUCUAAAUCAUGGGAAGUUAUGGUUACCUAAAAUCUUACUAAUUGAAGAUCAUUUAAUCAGACUUGUAUUCAGCAUCUGCUCCAUGCCAGGCAUUGUGCCAGAUACAAUGGAAACGGAUCAAGACUUGGCCCCUGACCUGGAGUUUACAGUCUGAGGUGACAGUUACACAUGAAACUAACUGUACUAGAGCAUCUUGAGAAUCUUUUUGACUUAAACAUCAGUAAUUUUACUAUAAAAGUCAAAAGCAGGGACUUUGUGGUGUUAAAAAAACAAAAGGAAAAUAUUUCAGGGGAAGGAAGAUGAAUAUAAAUAAGAAGAAUGAAAUUUUAGAAGAGCACAGAAUUUGUCUUUGUAAUUCUGAAAGCCUUUAGGGAAAAGAUAAUUUCUACUUUUCAUUUUGAAAUAAUUUCAAACUUACAGAAAAGUCACAAGAAUACUGAACUUACAUAUACCUUUUAUUGCAAAUUCAUCAGUUUUUAACAUUUUCCCUCAUUCUUUUUCUUUACACACAUACAAUUUGUUUUUGUGAACCAUCUGAAAAUAGGUUAAAUACUACAUUAUAUCACUUUAUUCCUUAAUAAUGUACUUCCUAAAAACAAGGGUAUUCAUCUCUGUAACCACAAUGUAGUUAUCAAAGUCAGGAAAUUUGGCUUUAAUCUAGAGUCCAGAUUCAAAUUCUGUUCAUCGUCCCAAAAAAGCUGAGUUUAGGAAGAGUCAUGUAACUUAACAUUUGUAAUGUAAAUUAAAAGUCGUUUGAAGUAAGCCAUAGACGAUCUCGGAAGUUUGCUAACAUUAUUUAAAUACCACAGUGAAAUGAACCACUGCUGAUUUUCUACGGAGAAAGCAAAGAUUAGGCUCAUGUUACCUGUAAAGGUCUGACUUAUGGCUCCCCAGAAGUGAACCUUACUCUGGAGAGCCCAUUUGGUGAGGUUCUUUUCACAAGGGAUUGUAUAUUUUUGACCCAGGGAUUGUCGAUUUGUUGAGCUCCCAUGAAGUGUGCCGCCUUGUCAUUAACACGUCUUCACAAUGCUUAUCUCAAACGACAUUCUUUGGAACUGCCUUUCAUAGUGAGGCACCCCGCCAGCCAGGCCGGUAGGUAGGUAGAAUGGCGGCUUCGGGAACUAGAUCCUGCUGGUCUCCCCUAACACGUGGUCCUUGAUGCUCUAGCGGACUGGGCCGUGAACCUCAGCACACAGCGCUUUGCCAGGGCCGGGGACGCACGCCGGCCUGCCGGAGGUGUCCGGAGGACUUGGGCGGGGGCGCGGCUUCUGCUGCACCACUUCCUCUCCAGCCUCGCGGGCUUCUAGGACCCUAUGACAUAAUUUCCGGAGUGGUCUGUUGGGAGUUGUGGCGGCGGCGAGGCCCAAGCAGAGCCGGCCAAGGGAGAGAAAAACCCAUGUCGUGUCCACCCCAAAGCUCGGCGCCUCUAGAAGCCAUGGCUUUUCCGCUGAAGCUAGAGCCGGACAUGCAGGGAAAAGUAGAUUUGUUUCGGGCCCGUAUCGCCCAGGAAGCCGAGGAUCUCGUGUCCACCUUCUUUCCGCAGAAGCUCUCAGAGUUGGAUAGCCAAGUUCAGGAGCUCCGGCUGCAAGACCUGCCCAGAAUCCAUUCAGUGCCAACCCCAGAGCCCCUGGACACCCCAGUCACCGUGGGGGAUGGGCCCAACCGGGAUCUGCCGCCUCUGCAGACCCAGUUCUCCAUCAAGGUCCCGGCACUGCCUGGCAGCGAGGGACAGCUUCUGCGGAGCAACCAGCAUCUGGUGGAGCUGAUUGAGCGGGUAAAACCUGAGAUCGAGCUGCUGAGAGAGAAAUGCAACACAGUGCGGAUGUGGGUGCAGCUGCUCAUCCCAAAGGUGGAGGACGGCAACAACUUCGGGGUGUCUAUCCAGGAAGACACUGUGGACCAGCUGUGGACCGUGGAGAGCACAGCGACCUCCUAUCUACGCGGCUUCUCCACCUACUACAACACCCGGGCCAAGUUGGUAUCCAAGAUAGUGAAGUACCCGCAAGUGGAAGAUUAUCGCCGCACUGUAGCAGAGGUGGAUGAAAACGAGUAUCUGAGUGUGCGCCAGAUCCUGCUGCACCUACGGAACGAGUAUGCCACCUUGCAUGAUGUAAUCCUUAAAAACUUCCAGAAGAUCAAGACCCCUCGGAGCACCAACACUGAUAACCUAUACUGAUAGCCUUUCUUUACCCCACUUGCCUUCAGGAGUUGGCUGAGCUGUUUAGGCAGCUAGAAAGCUGAUUAUUAAUGACUGUACAGGUGGUGAAAUGACUGGAAAUGUGCGUUAUUACUUAGAAUUUCAUACAGCUUACCCUCAUACUGAAUGAUCUUUUGGUGUAAUUUUCAUUUGAUUUUCCAUUUGUGGGGAGAAUGGGGACAAACCAUCAAGGAGAAAGGACUGCCAUUUUUAAAAGCAGCUUUGUAGAUGAAUGUUGGCCAAGGUUUCUUUAUUAUGGUGUUGGUGACAUUUAAUGGUUUCAGGGUUUACUUAAAAAACUAAAGCUUAAAAGAAAUUUAAAUGAAGCUUUUCCUAAAGCUCUGCUGUCUGUUAAACUUUGUUCAAACUUCAGAAUGCUCCUUUUACACCAUCAUUUUUCUUUUUUGCAAGGAAGGGAGUUUAAAGGGAUAUGUUUAGGUCAGUGUAUGCCUCCAGUUUAGCAGAUUGAAAUAAAACUGGUUAUAAAAUUUUAUGA
Sapajus apella (tufted capuchin) is the source of this 4869-nucleotide RNA transcript. It is a transcript of the gene named proteasome activator complex subunit 3 pseudogene, with no coding region annotated. The record is from RefSeq and is a predicted model, not a curated record. The transcript has a single exon. NCBI's taxonomy places the organism in Eukaryota, Metazoa, Chordata, Mammalia, Primates, Cebidae.